CGGGGUAUAGCUCAGUGGUUAGAGCACCCGCAUACGUAUCGGAAGGUCGGGGGUUCGACUCCCUCUGCCUCCA
This 73-nucleotide transfer RNA is filed under the name Pristionchus pacificus. It matches the Rfam family "tRNA". Rfam says of the family: Transfer RNA (tRNA) molecules are approximately 80 nucleotides in length. Their secondary structure includes four short double-helical elements and three loops (D, anti-codon, and T loops). The record is from Rfam by way of RNAcentral. Lineage: Eukaryota; Metazoa; Nematoda; Chromadorea; Rhabditida; Neodiplogasteridae.